AACAUAAGGAGAAUUAGUUAAAACUAAAAUGAAAAUAGCAACACAAUGUUCUCAUUUCCAAACAUAAGGUGAAGAAACAGAAAUUAUUAAGCACUUGCAGAAAACACAGCCGAAAAGGUGAAAAACAUAAACAGAGUUGGUGAAAUCCAUGAGAUUGAUGUUGCUUGUCUUAUCGAUUCACUCACAGCAAAUGAGGAACAAGUUAUGAAUAGCAGCUUUCCAUUAACAUUCUCAGAGAUCACAUCAGAAUGUAUCAGUACAAAAGUACAGAUCCUUGCACUUCAUUUGAUGAGUGAGUAGGUACAAGUUUGUUAAGAUUUGUAUAAGAAGAAAAAUAGUCGAAACUAACUGCAUUCGUCAUUUGAUGAGUGAGUCGCGGAACCAAAUCAGAGCCUAGGAACAGUUCUGCAGAUUUAAACUUCACCAGGUGGCUUUAUAGUGAAAAUCAUCUCUUGCAAUGUAUAUCAGACAGUCGUCAUCAAGUGAUCUAAUUGAUUCCCUGCCAGAGAUAAAAGAAGAGAAGAUAAAUAAUGGAAUUACUUGAUUCCUGCAGAGAGAGGGUAGUGGGGUGAGAGAUUACUUGAUAUUGUCCAUAGAUCAAAAUGAAACAACUUGUACUUGUUUUACUAUCAAUAUGCAGAACUGUCUUAUUCUGUAGAUCGGCCUUUUCGAUCAUCUACAGUGAGACCAAUGCUGCAAGUUAGUUUUCUAGAGGAUGAUCAAACUACCAUGGGAGGGGAGAAGAAGUUUUGAAGGAGUGAGGAAGAACAUGUCAUACGUUCAGCAUGGGGUUUUUCCUACACACUGAUUGAGAGGGAGAGAUUUUAGGAAAAGAUACUGAAUUCUGUUAUAUCAAAAGUUGCCCUGUUUCUGUUACAUCUUUGGGUAUUUAUCCUAAACCAAAUUGUUCCCUUAAUUCUAUAUUUCCCCUAGCCAUUACACGUGGCUUGAUUAUUUCAUUUAAACUAUCCGGGCUGCAUGAAACGCAACCGUUUAACUAAUGUUUUAAAUUCUUUACCGCUUCCUUCCCACGCUGUCGUUUUAUGCUUGAUUUGAAUUAAAUCCUUCUUCUUCUGCGCUAGCCCUCAUCUUCUUUGGUUCCAGUCGUGACAAUGCCCCCUCCAUGACCACCACCUUGUCCUCAAGGUGAAACUCAGGAAAUCGGAAGCAGAACUCAUCAACAUUUUUCCAGGUGGCUUCUGUCAAAGGUAUGUCCUUCCAUAUUACUAAAAAUUGAGUAAUCGCUGUAUUGCUUUGUUUAAUCAUUCUUCUCUUGAUGAUUUGUAGAGGCUGCAACAGGGAUCGAUGCUGAGGAUUGGGAAGAUCGGAGUGGAUGGCAUGAUGGCCCACGUGUUUCUUGAGCUGGGAGACGUGGAAGACGGGGUGAACCGCCGAUGUAGCAGGUAACUGUAAUUCAUAUGCUACGGUGCCAAUUUUCUUAAUAACUGUAUAGGGACCAUAAUAUUUGGCUGAUAACUUGUGGGAAACUCUCUUGUGAACGGAGUGUUGUCUGUAAGGUUGUAGUUUGACAUACACUGAAUCCCCCACCGAAAAACUUCGUUCGCUUCUUUUCUUGUUGGCUUGUUGGGUCAUUCUGUGUUGAGAUUGUAGGAGAUUACUUCUGAUUUCUUUGAACAUUUCUUCUCGUUGUGUGAGGUAGUGAUCCACAGCCUCAACUGGGGAGUCCUUAUGAGUGUAGGGAAUGUGAAUUGGUGGUACCAUGCCAUAGAGUAUCUCAUAAGGUGUCUUCUUUGUCGAAGUGUGGUAAUUGGUGUUGUACCACCACUCGCAAGCACUCAACCAUUUUCCCCAUAAGGUUGGGGCAUUCCCUGUCAUGCAUCGGAGGUACCCUUCGAUACACUUGUUAACCACCUCUGUCUGGCCAUCUGAUUGGGGAUGAUAGGCGGUGGAGUAGUGCAGAUUGACGCCCUGGUGUUUGAACAAUUCCUUCCAAAAUUGGCUGAGAAAAAUGUUGUCUCUGUCGCUUACUAUGGUGGCUGGCAUUCCAUGGAGUUUGUAGACAUGCUCCAUGAAGACCUUAGCUACAGUGGGGGCAGAGUAGGGGUGGGAGAGAGCCAUGAGAUGGGCAUAUUUGCUAAACCGAUCGACUACUACCAGGAUGACUUCCUUCCCUUCAGAUUUGGGUAGGCCUUCAAUGAAGUCCAUGCUGAUGUCAAUGAAGGGGGCAAUAGGAAUGGGUAGAGGUUGUAGAAGUCCUAGAAGCUUCACAUUCUCGGUCUUGUUUUGUUGGCAAAUGGAGCAUUCGCGGACAUAUUGCCUUACCAAUUUCUGUAACUUUCUCCAGUAGAAUACCUGCCCCAGUCUCUUUGUAGUGACCGUGGCUCCUGAAUGUCCUCCAGCUGCAGAGUCAUGGUAAAAACUGGUGAGCUUAGUUUGUAGUUGUGAGUCUCGACCCACCACUACCUUCCCUUUCCGAAGGAGAGUGUUAUUGACCCAUGCAUAGGCAGGAUGCGAGUUGGCAUCUUUUCUCACUUCCUUAAUGACUCUCUGUAAGUUUGGAUCAGCUGCCCAGGUCUGUCUGAUUUCCUCCAUGAUAUUGGUGGAGAUUGAGGAUAGGGUUAAGGCACUCAAUUCUGUGCUUGAGAUCCUGGAAAGAGCAUCUGCUGCCAAGUUGUCUUUGCCCUUCCUGUACUCUAUAUCAUAAUCAAAGCCUAAGAGUUUAGUUAACCAAACCUGUUGUGCCUCAUGAGUUGCCUUGUGAUCGAGUAGGAAUUUGAGACUUGAGUGGUCGGUUCUGAUUAGGAAGCGUCUUCCUCUUAGGUAAUGCUUCCAUUUAGUGACAGCAUAGACAAUGGCCAAUAGCUCCCGUUCAUAUGCUGAUAGAUUUAGUUGUCGAGGUCCCAGAGCUUUGCUGAUAAAAGCGAGUGGAUGCCCUUCUUGCAUCAAAACUGCUCCCAUACCCACUCCUGAUGCAUCUGUCUCUACGACAAAAGUCUUGUCGAAGUUUGGCAACGCCAGAACAGGGGGAUUAGCCAUGGCGUCCUUUAAUUGAUUGAAGGCCAUAGUGGCCGAACUAGUCCAGUUGAAGGAGCCCUUCUUCAACAGCUGAGUAAGGGGUCUGCAGAGUUCCCCAUACCCUUUCACAAACUUCCUAUAGUAUCCAGUCAACCCCAAAAAUCCCCGCAGUUGUUUGAUAUUAGUAGGAAUAGGCCAAUUCAUCAUUGCUACCACUUUGUUAGGGUCGGUGGCCACUCCUUCUUUGGUGAUAAUGUGGCCCAAAUACUCCAUCUGAUUGCUACCAAAUACACACUUCUCCUUCUUCGCAACCAGCUGGUUGGCACAUAAUAGGUCAAACACAACAGUAAGGUGAUGCAAGUGGUCUGUCCGGCUCUUGCUGUAGAUCAAUAUAUCGUCAAAAAAAAACUAAAAUGAACUUCCUCAAAUGUUGCCUAAAGAUGUCAUUCAUUAAACUCUAGAAGGUUGCUGGGGCAUUAGAGAGCCCAAAGGGCAUGACAAGGAAUUCAAAAUGGCCAUUGUGAGUGUGAAAUGCAGUUUUAUACACAUCUUUAGGGUCCAUUCGAAUCUGAUGGUAGCCUGCCCUUAAGUCAAUUUUAGAGAAAAUGGUUGCUCCUUCCAAUUCUUCUAAUAAUUCAUCAAUAAUAGGGAUGGGAUACUUAUCUUUUACAGUCAGCUUGUUGAGAGCGCGAAAGUCCACACAAAAUCGCCAUGUAUGGUCUUUUUUCUUGACUAGAACUACUGGAGAAGCAAACAGACUGUGGCUUGGUUGAACAAUUCCAGCGUCUAGCAUUUCAGCCACUAGUUUCUCCAAGGUAUCCUUUUGCAACCCUGAGUAUCUGUAUGGCCUUAGGUUGACUGUCAGGUUUUCAUCCUUCAGAGGUAUCCUAUGAUCAUGUCCUCUGGCAGGAGGUAGUUCCACUGGUUCUCUGAAAAUAUGGGAAUAAGUAUCCAAUAGUGCCUGAAUUGGAAACUCCUCUGCAUGUUGGGCAGGAAGGUACCCUUCCUGAUAACUGAGUGUUGUGCCCUCCACCUCCAGCACUCUUAGACUACAAAUAUUCACCUCUGCCAACAGUGUUUUACGUGCAAGUAGUCCACUUAACUCUUCCAGUCGAUGGACUGGGUGAGUAUAGGAUUGUCCCCUUUUAGUGUCACUUCAUUUCCUUCCCACCAAAAAUUCAUCCAUUUGUCUUCGUAAUUUGCUAAUACAUUUCCCAGUAACUUCAACCACUGUAUGCCUAGGACCAUAUCAUAGCUUUGUAAAGGCAUUACAAAAACAUCCGCCUGGAACUGGACGCCUUGCAUUUUCCACUGCAGGUUCUUGCAGAGCUUAGUACAAGACAUGGUACCCCCAUUUGCUGCUUCUACUAGCAUAGGUUUGAUGGGUGUCAGGAGACAAUUCUGUUUACUGGCGAGGUUGGCAUUAAGGAAGUUGUGGGUGCUGCCUGAGUCAAUCAAAAUGAAUAUAGGGCAUUUGUCUAGUUUGCCCCAUACCUUGAUGGUGUGGCACCCCGUGGUGCCCUGCAAUACAUGUAAUGACAGAUGAGGGGUAAGGGCUUCUACAUUCAUGGUUUCAAUGGUUUCCUCCUCUUUAGAGUUUUCUUCUUCGUCUUCGAUGAUGCAUAGUGAGUAUAGCUUUCGGUUUUUGCAUCUAUGUCCUGGUACAAAUUUUUCAUCACACCAAAAGCAUAAUCCCUUGGCUCUACGCUCAUCCAUCUCCCUGGUUCUAAUAGGUCUGGAGGGUCUGGGGUUGGAGUUGACAGUUGCGUUGUUGAAUGGUGGCCUGUUAGGGGUAGGUAGUAAGGCAGGCUGGGGAGAUUUAAACGUAGUGAAGGUGGAGUUGGAAGUUGAACUGCUGGAGGGAGUGGGGUAAGCUGGCUUUUGGUUGUGUUGGUAAGUGUUUGUUUGAGCUGGAAGUUUAGUGUGAUGGGGAGUGUUUCUUCUAUACGUGAGUGUGUUAUCAUGGAGCCUAGCUAGGUUAUAUGCUUGUUUGAGAGAUUUGGGUUCAAACAUUUUUACUAAGUUCUUAAUCUCAGUCUCUAACCCUCCCAAGAAAAAUACUAAGGCUUGCUUUUCAGAUACCUGAGCUCUAUUCCAGAGCAUGUCAAACUCCUUGAUAUAGUCUUCAAGAUUCCCAGCUUGUUUGUGUUCUGUUAACUCCUCCAAGGGGUCCUUUUGUCCUCCAAACCGGCAGCACAGGGCUUCAACAUAAUCUGCCCAAGUCGUGUCCUGUCCUUCCAAGUUUCUGAUGAAGUUCUGGUGCCAAUACAGUGCCAACCCAUCCAAGUAGUAGGAGGCUAGUUUCAAUUUGUCUGGCUCUGCUAUCUCUUCAAGGUCGAAAUAUUGAUUGCAUUUAUACAACCACUUAUGCACAUCUUCGCCUUCAAAUGUUGGAAAAUUCCUCUUGGGCUUGUGAAACCUGUAAGACCCUUGUGAACCUUCUCCAACCCACCCUUGACUGCAGGUUGUUGUAGGCGGUUGAGGAGCAUGGGGCCUUUGGGAGGAGCUAGUCUCUCCAGUGAGAGUUUGUAGGGUGUGUUUUAUCGCAAUCUGCUGAGUAGCUAUUUCUUUCAUCAUAGCCUUGAGUUGGCCAAGAUCAUCCGACUGUGUGUUCAGUUUGAUUUCUAUUCCAUCAAUUCUUUGGUUAGCAGCUUCCAAGGAACCGUCACACCUUCUCACAUCUUGGGACCUGGUCUCUGGAGGCAUUUUGAGGAGAUCCAAAGAUGAAGCUCUGAUACCACUUUGCUGCAAGUUAGUUUUCUAGAGGAUGAUCAAACUACCAUGGGAGGGGAGAAGAAGUUUUGAAGGAGUGAGGAAGAACAUGUCAUACGUUCAGCAUGGGUUUUUUCCUACACACUGAUUGAGAGGGAGAGAUUUUAAGAAAAGAUACUGAAUUCUGUUAUAUCAAAAGUUGCCCUGUUUCUGUUACAUCUUUGGGUAUUUAUCCUAAACCAAAUUGUUCCCUUAAUUCUAUAUUUCCCCUAGCCAUUACACGUGGCUUGAUUAUUUCAUUUAAACUAUCUGGGCUGCAUGAAACGCAACCGUUUAACUAAUGUUUUAAAUUCUUUACCGCUUCCUUCCCACGCUGUCGUUUUAUGCUUGAUUUGAAUUAAAUCCUUCUUCUUCUGCGCUAGCCCUCAUCUUCUUUGGUUCUAGUCGUGACAAUAACCUAUGCCAGCAACUUGUAAAAACUCCUCCUUAGAAGUAAAAAAAAGGGCUAAACAGUUACUUUGUAUAUUUCGACAGUAAGGAAUGUUGAUAAUAGGUAUAUAAAGAACUGAAUGUUGAUGAUAACCAGAAAAACAAAGAACAAAGAACUUGCAACAAAGAACAAAGAGCAGAAUGUUUUUCCUAUUGGUUACUGCCAUCCCUUAGCUUUUAUUUAUAGAUGAAAUCAAUCACAACACAAUUAAGAAACAUAACUAACAUAAACUCCUUCAUUUAUGGAGCUUAUCCUAAAUAAGUUUCAUAUCUAAAGAAGUAAAAACUCAUUAAACAACAUUAAGAUAAUGAUGUUACUAAUAGAUAAACAUUAAUGAAAGAUAACAUAUGACUGAGACAUUAAUUUCAGCUUUGGUGCCAUAACUUCAACACUCCUCCUUGGUUCCAAAGCUGCACAUUCCUAUCAUCUCCCUUAGAUCUUGAAAUCUAUCUUUAGCUAAAGGCUUGGUUAAAUUUCUAACUUUCUAGGAAAUCAAACAAAGGGUCUAAAAUAAGUAAUAACAUUAAAAAAAAAAAAACAGGGGAAAUGGGAGCGAUAUGAAGCUUACUUUUGCAAGACUGGUAUUCAGUGACAUGCAGGGUUGACCGGGAGGCAUGAAUCCACUACAAUAGACUGCAGAGGCAGAGCCGAACUGGAUGCUGGAUGUUAUUAUGUUCGAAGACAAUUUUGACAAAAAGACCAUCAUUAUCUUACAUACCAGACCAGAGCAUCAGAUUUUCAAUGUUGAAACAGUAAUCAGAUUUCAAGCUAUGAUAAACGAAGAUUCGUGAAACAUUAUGAGGCAUCAUUCAUAAAGAGUCAAAUAGGGACAUCUAUACACGCAUGGUAGAAA
Molecule: long non-coding RNA, 7031 nt
Filed under: Populus trichocarpa (black cottonwood)
Lineage: Eukaryota; Viridiplantae; Streptophyta; Magnoliopsida; Malpighiales; Salicaceae
Description: long non-coding RNA (PTRI_LNC001896)
Source: RNAcentral